Amphiprion ocellaris (clown anemonefish) is the source of this 3006-nucleotide long non-coding RNA. RefSeq lists it as uncharacterized. The transcript has 6 exons. The record is from RefSeq and is a predicted model, not a curated record. Lineage: Eukaryota; Metazoa; Chordata; Actinopteri; Pomacentridae.
GGUAUGUCUGUGGUCGGCACGUCUGGUAGCAUUUCUGGCUGCUGUUGACCUUGUUUUUGGAGUAAAACACGGUGGAAGCUGAAUUAGUGAGGAUGACUCCUGCUCCUGUCAUCUCUAAGCUCCUCACACAUCUUUACCUGCACAUGAGGAAAAUCACUCCUGUAGAAUGCAGAUGUUCAGAGGGAGAUGAUGCCACAUCUGGUCCAGCCGAUGGAAGGUCUUGAAGAUCUCUGACUGGCCUCGACUGAAGAUGGUCUUCUCACUGGAUUUAAGGUUCAGAUGCUCAGUAACAAAUUCCACCAAUGUGCUAACAGGGAAGCUUUAGGUUUAUUAAAUGUUGCUAUGAAGGUUUCGCUAUUUUUCUUUGUGAAUGCAAUGUGCUCCAACUGAAACUUGAAUUAGAACUUAGAAGUAAAUCCUUCCAUCUGAAAGGAUUUAGUUGCAUUAAUAACCUCAUAACAUUCUAAUUUUUAUUUCAGUCUUGGCUGGAAAUAGAAUCUCUGUAUUGAUUCAGGUAAAAACUGAACUUCACAGCAUGUUGAAGCAAAACAACCAGAUGAAAACUGUGAUGGUGUUGGAUUGUCAGACCGUAAUGUUGCAGCUCAAAGCAGCUUUUCUAUCUCGGUUCAUUCUGACAUUCAGCUAUGAAUCAACACAGCAGAUGGUGAUCCAUGCUGUGGAAGUCUCACAUCUCCUGAUUUAAUGGAGCUGCUUUGUACUUUUUACACUGUUUAUUCACCAACACUUUAUUGAAUAAAAGUCCCAUCUAGUUUUUAUGAGGAAUGUGAUGUUUUAAUUUCUCUGUGAAUAACUGCAGUCUAAUGCAACAGCUGGAAUUGUAACAUCUGUGCUGAUAUUGAUCAUGAAGUAUUGAUCAGAAUACUUAUGGUUAGCAGUCAUCUCUGAAGUUUUACAUUAAAAUCUUUACUUGUGUUGUGAACUUUGGUAAGAAGCAGAAACUUUUGCGUUGCCAUGGAUAUAUGAGUGUUAAAUUCUGUCUAUGUUUUUAUUUUGGGAAAUGCAGUCCAGUUCCAGAAUAUGGAGGAAUUUAGUCUCAAUCACAGACAACAAAUAUCUGAAAGUGGGGUUAUUGUUGUUUAUCAGCACAAUACAAAAAGAUUAAUGUUAGAAAUAUUCCAGUUAAGACUCUAGAAUAUCAUGAUUUAUGUAAAUUUACCUCAAUAAUAUGAAUGUUCAGGUUAAGAUUGUACAUUGAUAUUUAUUAUGCAAGUUUAGCUGAUUAAAGUUUAUGACUCUGCACUAAAAUAUUAUUUAAAUUGACAUCAUUAUUAUAAUAUUCAGGGUCAGACCCUGCAGUAUUGAGAUUAAGAAAUCAAAUAUUCUAUAAAAUGUAAAUACACUGCAGUCAUUUGGAUAUAUUUAAGUGAGACUCUACAACAUUAUUUGACACAAAUCUAUCUAAAUCAAAAUUUUAAUAAUUUUCACGCCAAACAUUUACUAGACUGAUUUAAACAUUAAAAUCACUCCUUUCUAAUCCUCUGCUGUACAUUCAAACCUGAAGCCUUAAAUAGAAACACACAAGUAUCUGAUUGAAGGAACUUCUGUAGAGUCCUGGUUCCAGAACAUGAUGAUAGAAUUAUAGACAAACUUUAACAAAAGCUGCCUGAGAGUUUACAGGUUUUUAUGUUGGAUUUCUUCAGUAAUUUAAUAAGCGUUAUCAGCAAUAAUCAAGUGUUCAUUUGAUGAACUUGAUUUCCUAAAACAUACAGAAUUGGAGCUCAUAUCUUUGGCAGCUGUAAAGUUUCCGCUCCUUCAAAGUUCACAACACAAUGAAUGAAUUCCUAAAACACUCUCAAUGCUGGAGAGCGUUUGAUGCUGAAGCAGUGACCAGUUUUUCUGUUUCUUCUCUGGAGAUGCACAAUGAGGGACGUCUGCAGAGACUGAGAAAGAGUCUCACCACAUCCUGACAUGAGGAAAAAGACUUUAUUGAAGACUACAAUGAGAAAAACUAUCAGACAGCAGACAGCAUGCAUUCAAGUUUAGGCUGUUAAAUUGUUCCAGAUAAGACAAGUACAAGAUUCUUCAGAGCCGUUCUACCACGAGCCUGACAGGAAGAACUCCAACAGCUACUGAAUGUUCCUGUGGUUCCCUCAAGGCUACAGGAGGAGCCCUACGAGGACGAGCCGGUCCACCCGAUGGUGGCCAGUCGCUGCGGUUCAAAAGCCAACACCGACUACGUGGACUUCUACUGGACCACACGGAGGCCUUCAAACUGGACCAACAAGUUCACCGACUCCCCGACUCGUGGGUCUGAGGACGCCGCCGAGCCUCGGUCCAGCCGGCUGCCUGUCUGUGGGUGUUUGAGUGCUGAGAGGUUUCCCAGAGACUAUGGGUUGAGGAGGAAUUGGAAGUUUGUCGGCUUAGACCUGGUGUCAUUCCAUCAGUAUUAAACUUCCAGGCUCAUCUUGGAAGAGUACGUGCCAGAAAGAAAAUGACCAAGCAGCCUUGAGAUCUUAGGCAGCGUCUCCCUGAGUUCAAAGGUCCCUCUCUAUCUCCCCACACAUCCACCAACCACUGGAACACAUCUCCAAAGUUCUGCCGGGCCAGCUCAGCUUCCCCUCAGAAGAAGUUCCUCCACCUGCCAGAUGAAGGAGCCUUUUGAGAGGCAGCUGGCAUCGUGAUUGGACUGUACUUUGGUCUGUUCCAAUCCAGCUUCAGCUCCAGAGACGGCAGGCGGGACGAGUCAACGGAGGCCGGGUGGACGAAGGCAUGCAGCUGAGUACAAUCCAGAAAACAACAGAGGAGGAGUGCAGCGGCCCAGGGCCAGAACAAGCAGAGUAGCAUCGUAUGUCUCUUAGAAAACAUCAUAGUAUAGCCUUUGGUAUGAAAAAACGCCAUCAUAUACAUCGUAGAUUUUACAAAUAACAAGUCAAAGGAAAGAGACAUACAUUGUCGAAUUGUAGUAAUUGUGGGCUGACUGAUUUACUGAUUAUCAGUAUUUUAUUUUUUUACUGAUUUACGGUAAUAAAUACAUUUAAAAAUGGU